RNAcentral lists this ribosomal RNA (68 nucleotides) under Littorella uniflora. RNAcentral describes it as "partial 28S ribosomal RNA". The stretch from base 8 to 68 matches the Rfam family "Eukaryotic large subunit ribosomal RNA", at positions 1 to 61 of the family's 3401-position model. The record is from RNAcentral. Lineage: Eukaryota; Viridiplantae; Streptophyta; Magnoliopsida; Lamiales; Plantaginaceae.
UCGACCGCGACCCCAGGUCAGACGGGACUACCCGCUGAGUUUAAGCAUAUCAAUAAGCGGUGGAGAAG